RNAcentral lists this ribosomal RNA (2948 nucleotides) under Latescibacteria bacterium SCGC AAA252-D10. Its description in RNAcentral is "bacterial LSU rRNA". It matches the Rfam family "Bacterial large subunit ribosomal RNA". Lineage: Bacteria; Pseudomonadati; Candidatus Latescibacterota. The record is from RNAcentral.
AGGGCGCAUGGUGGAUGCCUUGGUACAGAGGAGCGAUGAAGGACGUGGUAAGCUGCGAUAAGCUUCGGGUAGGUGCAAACAACUGUUAAUCCGGAGAUGUCCGAAUGGGGUAACCCGAUACGGGUAAUGCUGUAUCACUCCCGGUUGAAUAUAUAGGCCGGGUAGAGCGAACGGGAUGAACUGAACCAUCUUAGUAAUCCCAGGAAAAGAAAACAAUAGUGAUUCCCAAAGUAGCGGCGAGCGAAAUGGGAACAGCCUAAACCGCAGUCAGUUCUGGCUGCGGGGUUGUGGGGUCCCAGCAUGGAGUGAUAAAUCAGCAUCAUAGCGGAAUUUUCUGGAAAGUGAAGCCGCAGAGGGUGACAGCCCCGUAUGCGAAAUGACGCUGACUCCUAGGGAUACCCCGAGUACCACAGGACACGUGAAAUCCGGUGGGAAUCUACGAGGACCACCUCGUAAGGCUAAAUACUACUCUGUGACCGAUAGUGAACUAGUACCGUGAGGGAAAGGUGAAAAGUACUCCUAUUAGGAGAGUGAAAUAGUACCUGAAACCGUGUGCCUAUAAGCGGUCAAAGGCUCCUUUUGGAACUUCGGUUCUGAAAGGGCUGAUGGCGUGCCUUUUGCAUAAUGAUCCAGUGAGUUACUGGUCUGUAGCAAGGUUAAGCAGUUAUACUGCGGAGCCGUAGCGAAAGCGAGUCUGAACAGGGCGAUAUAGUUGCAGGCCGUAGACCCGAAACCGAGUGAUCUACCCUUGGUCAGGAUGAAGCACGGAUAAAACCGUGUGGAGGUCCGAACCAGGACUGGUUGAAAACAGUUUGGAUGAACUGAGGGUAGGGGUGAAAGGCCAAUCAAACUCGGAGAUAGCUGGUUCUCCCCGAAAUAUAUUUAGGUAUAGCCUUGUGUUAUAGAGUGCCGGAGGUAAAGCACUGAAUGGGCUAGGGGCCUUACCAGGCUACCAAACCCAAUCAAACUCUGAAUGCCGGUCACUUGUUUCACGGGAGUCAGGCAGUGGGGGAUAAGCUCCAUUGCCGAGAGGGAAACAACCCAGACCAUCAGCUAAGGUCCCUAAGAUAUGCUCAGUGAUAAAGGAUGUAAAGUCGCAAAGACAGCCAGGAUGUUGGCUUAGAAGCAGCCACCAUUUAAAGAGUGCGUAACUGCUCACUGGUCAAGUGGUUUUGCGCCGAUAAUUUCCGGGACUAAGCAUAUCACCGAAGCUAUGGAAUUGUAAAAUUGGUAGGGGAGCGUUCUGUUAUAGAGUGAAGGUGAGCCGUAAGGCUUGCUGGACGAACCAGAAGUGAGUAUGCUGGAAUGAGUAGCGGUAAAUGCGGGUGAAAAACCUGCACACCGAAAAUCUAAGGUUUCCUGGGGAAGGUUAAUCCGCCCAGGGUUAGUCGGGUCCUAAGCCGAGGCCGUCAGGCGUAGGCGAUGGAAAACAGGCAAAAUAUUCCUGUACCACCAGUAGCGUGUUUGAGUGAUGGGGUGACGCAGAAGUGAAGGCCAGCCGGCGAUUGGAAGUGCCGGUUCAAGCAGGUAGGGGGAAGUUCUAGGAAAAUCCGGAGCUUCGUAACCCUGAGAUGUUAUAAGGAGGGCGUUAGCCCGCAAACUGGUCGUAAUCAUGCUGCCAAGAAAAACCUCUAAACGAAUGGUACUGGUGUCCGUACCGUAAACCGACACAGGUAGAUAAGGAGAGAAUCCUAAGGUGACUGAGAGAACCCUCGUUAAGGAACUCGGCAAAAUGGCUCCGUAACUUCGGAAGAAGGAGCGCCUCAGAGUAUGUGAUCAGACUUGCUCUGUGAGCAGAAUGAGGUCGCAGAGAAUCGGCCUGGGCGACUGUUUACUAAAAACACAGGUCUCUGCUAAAUCGUAAGAUGAUGUAUAGGGACUGACACCUGCCCGGUGCUGGAAGGUUAAAAGGAGGGGUCAGCCGCUUCGGCGGUGAAGCUCUGAAUUGAAGCCCCAGUAAACGGCGGCCGUAACUAUAACGGUCCUAAGGUAGCGAAAUUCCUCGUCGGGUAAAUUCCGACCUGCACGAAUGGUGUAACGACUUGGGCGCUGUCUCAACGAGGGUCUCAGCGAAAUUGUAGUUCCGGUGAAGAUGCCGGAUACCCGCAGUAGGACGGAAAGACCCCGUGAACCUUUACUACAGCCUGACAUUGGGUUUUGGUAUAGUAUGUAGAGAAUAGGUGGGAGACUAUGAAGUGGGGGCGCCAGCUUUCAUGGAGUCACCAUUGGAAUACCACCCUUGUUAUAUUGGAAUUCUAACCAUGUACCUUGAAUCAGGUACUGGAACAUUGUCUGGUGGGUAGUUUGACUGGGGCGGUCGCCUCCUAAAAAGUAACGGAGGCGCCCAAAGGUUCCCUCAGUGCGGUCGGUAAUCGCACGUAGAGUGUAAAGGCAUAAGGGAGCUUGACUGCGAGACUUACAAGUCGAGCAGGUGCGAAAGCAGGGCUUAAUGAUCUGACAGUAGCGCGUGGAAGCGCUGAAACUCAACGGAUAAAAGGUACUCCGGGGAUAACAGGCUUAUCUCCCCCAAGCGUCCAUAGCGACGGGGAGGUUUGGCACCUCGAUGUCGGCUCAUCGCAUCCUGGGGCUGGAGAAGGUCCCAAGGGUUUGGCUGUUCGCCAAUUAAAGCGGUACGCGAGCUGGGUUUAGAACGUCGUGAGACAGUUCGGUCCCUAUCCACUGUGGGCGUCAGGAAAUUUGAGGAAAGCUGUCCCUAGUAUGAGAAGACCGGGAUGGACGAACCUCUGGUGUACCAGUUGUUCCGCCAGGAGCAGUGCUGGGUAGCUAUGUUCGGAAGGGAUAACCGCUGAAAGCAUCUAAGUGGGAAGCCUAUUCCAAGAUGAGAUUUCCCUAUCAGGACCCAUGAAGACUACGUGGUUGAUAGGCCGUAGGUGUAAGUACAGUAAUGUAUUCAGCCGAGCGGUACUAAUAGUCCGAUCGACUUAACC